Molecule: ribosomal RNA, 253 nt
Filed under: uncultured bacterium
Lineage: Bacteria
Description: partial 16S ribosomal RNA
Rfam family: Bacterial small subunit ribosomal RNA
Source: RNAcentral
UACAGAGGUCCCAAGCGUUGUUCGGAUUCACUGGGCGUAAAGGGUGCGUAGGCGGUCGGGUAAGUCUGAUGUGAAAUCUCCAAGCUCAACUUGGAGAUGGCAUCGGAUACUAUUCGGCUCGAGGAAUGGAGGGGAGACUGGAAUACUUGGUGUAGCAGUGAAAUGCGUAGAUAUCAAGUGGAACACCAGUGGCGAAGGCGAGUCUCUGGACAUUUCCUGACGCUGAGGCACGAAAGCCAGGGGAGCAAACGGG